GUGAAUCAUCGAAUUUUUGAACGCAAAUUGCACUCUCUUCGGAGAGUAUGAGUGUUUGAGGGUCAGCCUAAAAAAAAACGACGUAGAAGCUGUUUCUCGGUGACAUUCGUCGGAACUUGGGUCAUCUUAAACCUUUGGGUUAUUAAGAGGGUUAAAACUUACUUUAGGAGUGCAGGAAAGUUAUU
Molecule: unclassified non-coding RNA, 185 nt
Filed under: Glomus sp.
Lineage: Eukaryota; Fungi; Glomeromycota; Glomeromycetes; Glomerales; Glomeraceae
Description: partial contains 5.8S ribosomal RNA and internal transcribed spacer 2
Rfam family: 5.8S ribosomal RNA (bases 1-65)
Source: RNAcentral